RNAcentral lists this long non-coding RNA (2028 nucleotides) under Homo sapiens (human). Its description in RNAcentral is "HSALNT0373727". Lineage: Eukaryota; Metazoa; Chordata; Mammalia; Primates; Hominidae. The record is from RNAcentral.
UAAACUUUUUUUUUUUACUUAUUCCCCUAUUCCAUACAAUUAUAUUAUAAUAGAAAUAAAAGAUCUUUGCCUUUAAAGUUAGAGUAGAAGCAGGACCUGGCAUAGGCUUCUACCAAAGGCUUUCUUUUUUUUGCAAUCUGAAUUUUUCCCUUUCUCUAUGCAUGAUCUUCUGAGAUAGUCUACACAGAUGUCUUAUGUGGCCUUAUACCUUAGACAAAUGAAAAAUUCUUCCUUUUGGGAAGGCAAAUUUGCUUCUAUAACUUUUUCUCCUCUGCUUUUGUGAGUAUGAGAGAGUUUCUCUACUACAAGACUGUAGGAUAAAAGUUGGUAUAACAAAAAUAAAGAUUGAAAAGAUAAAAUGACAACCAAAAAACAAUGACAAAAUUGGAAUUCAGGAAUAAUCUUCACUUUGGCAAUAUGGCUAAAUAUAACUUGGGUUAGGGAUCUCUUGGGUUAGGAAUCUUUUUGUGUGAUAUAUUAUUUUGAAUUUAUAGAGCAUUGGUUUUUAACAAGUUUUUAUCAUUUUUAACAGGUUUUUAUCAUUUAAAAGGUGACUAGGGCAAUGGGAUUACCUCUGAUAUCAGAGAGUUGGCAAUCAUGUAACCCUGAAAGUCAUGGCACAAUAUGGCAGAACAAGCACGUCUGGGGCCUGGGAGUCCUGAGGUACUCUAGUAAUUGUGGUUUUCCUCAUACUCUCUGGAUCUGGGGUGACCCAGAACACAGUCAUAAUUCUUGAACUGUUUGCAAGUGCAAACCUUGAGAUCUUCCCAAGCCAGUCACCCAGUCGAUAAUCAGCUCAAGAUCAUCCCUAUACCCCGAGUAGAAUUAGUUGUCAAUAUUUAGGGCACAAAAUUCAUUUUGGUGAGAUGCCCUAGGCCAUUGACACUAGUCAUAUAAUAAUCUAAUGUGUUUGCUGCAAUGACACAUUGCAGCCCUAUGUCCUCUGAGUUCUGGCUCUAAUGUGGUAUUUCUUUACACUAGCUUUCUCAAUAAUAUGAACAGCCUGCCUAUGAACUGAAAUGUGAAGUAUGAUACCCACUAUUAUAUAUCUUUCCUUACUGCAAGUCCAACUAAUGGUUAUUAAUAUGAACAACUUACCUCCUGCUUGCUUUCAGCUCCCGAAUUUUUAUUGUCUGUACUUUUCCUGUAGUGAAGUAGUUUCAUAGCUCAGCAAAGCCUCAGAAUUUUUUAUGAACAGUCUCUAAAAGGCAGCUAGAUCUAGCUCUAAGACAUCAAGCAAAUGACCCAGGACUUGUUAUUUUUCUUGUUGGUUUCUGCGUAGCUAAGGCAAAGGCUUUUUCUUGGCCUCCACUCAGCAAUAUGCAAAAAGCUGAAGCUUUUAAAGUGGGAGAAGAAACAGAAGGAACAGAGGAGGUAAUUGAGAAUUAGUCACAUUUGUUAUUUUUAGCACUGCCUGAUUUUGUCUGGAAAUGGAAGUGAAACUAUAAAAACAGAUUUAUAACCAGAGGCAUCAUUUCUUUCUUGUUCGUUACUGCAAAGAACAAAACCCGCACAAAGAAGACUCUCAGGAAAUGCUGGCUGAAUGACAGAAUGAACAUUGAUAAAUGAAGACUUCUUCAAAUAACUGAUGCUAGACAUCUCUAAAUAUAUCAGAAAUAACAUGUGACCAUGACAUCAUUCAUCAUUUUUCCAUCAAAACAUUUGAAAAUAACUUGGAUUCAUUUAUUAGAGCUUUAUUUUCCCACAUCUUGCAGUACCCUAGAGUUCUACAGUAAUUAACCUUAUGCUGAAUGGCAGAGGACAUGCACUAAGCUCCUAUUUAAAAUCUAUUCAUGAUGCAUUUUAAAUAUUCAGUAGAGACUUCUUAAACAUGCAGCCAUAGUCUAUUGAAAAUGGAUUUCCUAAAGCCAGGAGAUUGGAUAUUAAUAUCUGGCAUUCGUAUAAAGACAGGUUUUUGUUAACCUAUUAUAAAAAGGACUGAUGAUGUGAUUAUAUACUGUUUACUAGCUCACUUAUAUUUCUGUGCUAAUAAUUACUGUAACCCAUUUGUUUAGUUUUUUUAUUUUA